CGCACCUUGCGCCUUUUGGUAUUCCGAAAGGCAUGCCUGUUUCAGUGUCAUGAAAUCUCAAUCUAAUAUGUUUUCUGAACAUGUUAGGCUUGGACAUGGGCGUCUGCCAGCGAUGGCUCGCCUCAAAUGACUUAGUGGAACAUCCCACAUCAGUGUUAGACGUAAUAAGAUUUCGUCUCUCCUUGUGGUGAUGACUGCUCAGAACCUGCCAUCGCGCACCUUUUGACUUUGACCUGAAAUCAGGUAGGGCUACCCGCUGAACUUAA
RNAcentral lists this unclassified non-coding RNA (266 nucleotides) under Papiliotrema flavescens. RNAcentral's name for it is "partial contains 5.8S ribosomal RNA, internal transcribed spacer 2, and large subunit ribosomal RNA". Lineage: Eukaryota; Fungi; Basidiomycota; Tremellomycetes; Tremellales; Rhynchogastremaceae. The record is from RNAcentral.